This 253-nucleotide ribosomal RNA is filed under the name uncultured bacterium. RNAcentral describes it as "partial 16S ribosomal RNA". It matches the Rfam family "Bacterial small subunit ribosomal RNA", at positions 524 to 776 of the family's 1533-position model. The record is from RNAcentral.
UACGAAGGGUGCGAGCGUUGUUCGGAAUUACUGGGCGUAAAGGGUUCGUAGGCGGGAGCUUAAGUCAAGUGUGAAAUCCCCAGGCUCAACCUGGGACGUGCACCUGAAACUGAGCUUCUUGAAUCUUGGAGAGGGUGAUGGAAUUGCUGGUGUAGGAGUGACAUCCGUAGAGAUCAGCAGGAACACCGGAGGCGAAGGCGAUCACCUGGCCAAAGAUUGACGCUGAGGAACGAAAGCGUGGGGAGCAAACAGG